This 1011-nucleotide ribosomal RNA is filed under the name Brachyspira sp. NSH-30. RNAcentral's name for it is "bacterial SSU rRNA". It matches the Rfam family "Bacterial small subunit ribosomal RNA", at positions 61 to 1090 of the family's 1533-position model. Lineage: Bacteria; Pseudomonadati; Spirochaetota; Spirochaetia; Brachyspirales; Brachyspiraceae. The record is from RNAcentral.
GUCGAGCGGGCUUAUUCGGGCAACUGGAUAAGUUAGCGGCGAACUGGUGAGUAACACGUAGGUAAUCUGCCGUAGAGCGGGGGAUAACCCAUGGAAACAUGGACUAAUACCGCAUAUACUCUUGCUACACAAGUAGAGUAGAGGAAAGGAGUAAUCCGCUUUACGAUGAGCCUGCGGCCUAUUAGCCUGUUGGUGGGGUAAUGGCCUACCAAAGCUACGAUAGGUAGCCGACCUGAGAGGGUGACCGGCCACAUUGGGACUGAGAUACGGCCCAGACUCCUACGGGAGGCAGCAGCUGAGAAUCUUCCACAAUGGACGAAAGUCUGAUGGAGCGACAUCGCGUGAGGGAUGAAGGCCUUCGGGUUGUAAACCUCGGAAAUUAUCGAAGAAUGAGUGACAGUAGAUAAUGUAAGCCUCGGCUAACUACGUGCCAGCAGCCGCGGUAAUACGUAGGAGGCAAACGUUGCUCGGAUUUACUGGGCGUAAAGGGUGAGUAGGCGGACUUAUAAGUCUAAGGUGAAAGACCGAAGCUCAACUUCGGAAACGCCUCGGAUACUGUAAGUCUUGGAUAUUGUAGGGGAUGAUGGAAUUCUCGGUGUAGCGGUGGAAUGCGCAGAUAUCGAGAGGAACACCUAUAGCGAAGGCAGUCAUCUGGGCAUUUAUCGACGCUGAAUCACGAAAGCUAGGGGAGCAAACAGGCUUAGAUACCCUGGUAGUCCUAGCCGUAAACGUUGUACACUAGGUGCUUCUAUUUAAAUAGGAGUGCCGUAGCUAACGUCUUAAGUGUACCGCCUGAGGAGUAUGCCCGCAAGGGUGAAACUCAAAGAAAUUGACGGGUCCCCGCACAAGUGGUGGAGCAUGUGGUUUAAUUCGAUGAUACGCGAAAAACCUUACCUGGGUUUGAAUUGUAAGAUUAAUGAUUUAGAGAUAAGUCAGACCGCAAGGAGAUUUUACAUAGGUGCUGCAUGCCUGUCGUCAGCUCGUGUCGUGAGAUGUUGGGUUAAGUCCCGC